RNAcentral lists this long non-coding RNA (443 nucleotides) under Nicotiana benthamiana. Its description in RNAcentral is "long non-coding RNA (NBEN_LNC014283)". Lineage: Eukaryota; Viridiplantae; Streptophyta; Magnoliopsida; Solanales; Solanaceae. The record is from RNAcentral.
UUUGAAAACUCGACUUAAUCAAAGAUAUCUAGUGAUAUGGAGUGUAGAAAACAAAGAUUAAACAAGAAAUCGCUUAAAAGACAGAAGUUUAAGAGAUUUAGGCAAAGCAAAUUAGGGUUUGCAAAAAUAAGUUAGGGAAAUGAGAAACCUGGCUGUGAAACUCAUAUACAAUGCCAUAGAAGGCAACAUCGUACAAAGUCCACCAGAGAAAAGUCGGAAAUAGACCCAAAUAAAGCUUCAGUGACCUUUUUCAUGGUGGAAGCUGCUGGCUUCAAACAUUAGAGAGAAAACAACAAUACAAGGACCCAAUGGUUACUGGAGUUCGAGAGAAUUGAGAGAGGAGUGAGCAAGAGAGGCGAUGGUCAUCAUCAGAGAAAGUGGAGAAAACCAGAAGGUUCAAGAGAGAUGAAGGGUUAGAGAGCAUCCGUUAGAGAGAUAAAGAG